This 392-nucleotide ribosomal RNA is filed under the name Thalassiosira sp. RNAcentral describes it as "partial small subunit ribosomal RNA". It matches the Rfam family "Eukaryotic small subunit ribosomal RNA", at positions 582 to 975 of the family's 1831-position model. The record is from RNAcentral. Lineage: Eukaryota; Bacillariophyta; Thalassiosirophyceae; Thalassiosirales; Thalassiosiraceae.
AUUCCAGCUCCAAUAGCGUAUAUUAAAGUUGUUGCAGUUAAAAAGCUCGUAGUUGGAUUUCUGGCAGGAGCGACCGGUCACACACUCUGUGUGUGAACUUGCGUUGUCUCUGGCCAUCCUCGGGGAGAUCCUGUUUGGCAUUAAGUUGUCGGGCAGGGGAUACCCGUCGUUUACUGUGAAAAAAUUAGAGUGUUUAAAGCAGGCUUAUGCCGUUGAAUAUAUUAGCAUGGAAUAAUAAGAUAGGACUUCGGAACUAUUUUGUUGGUUUGCGUUACGAAGUAAUGAUUAAUAGGGACAGUUGGGGGCAUUAGUAUUUAAUUGUCAGAGGUGAAAUCCUUGGAUUUAUUAAAGACUAACUUAUGCGAAAGCAUUUGCCAAGGAUGUUUUCAUUA